GGAUGUGAGGGCGAUCUGGCUGCGACAUCUGUCAUCCCAUUGAUCACCAGGGUUGAUUCAGCUGAUCUGGCUGGCUAGGCUGGUGUCCCCUUCCUCCCUCACCACUCCAUGUGUGUCCCUCCUAAAGCUGCGCACUAGGUCGAAGAGGAAGGCCUUCCCCCAAAUAGAGACCAACCAGUCUUUGGUCGAGGGUAUUCGAGUAGCUGCGCUCCCCUGCUAGAACCUCCAAACAAGCUCUCAAGGAGAAGUAUAUUGGGGACAGGUGGUGGCAUACCUGGCUGAGCACACAUGUUACAAUGCACAAGGA
This 307-nucleotide small nuclear RNA is filed under the name Erinaceus europaeus (western European hedgehog). Its description in RNAcentral is "7SK RNA". It matches the Rfam family "7SK RNA". Rfam says of the family: 7SK was discovered as an abundant small nuclear RNA in the mid-70s but a possible function has only recently been suggested. Two independent studies have found that 7SK RNA binds the CDK9/cyclin T complex (known as elongation factor P-TEFb). The record is from Rfam by way of RNAcentral. Lineage: Eukaryota; Metazoa; Chordata; Mammalia; Eulipotyphla; Erinaceidae.